Molecule: ribosomal RNA, 528 nt
Filed under: uncultured bacterium
Lineage: Bacteria
Description: partial 16S ribosomal RNA
Rfam family: Bacterial small subunit ribosomal RNA
Source: RNAcentral
UGGGGAAUUUUGGACAAUGGGCGCAAGCCUGAUCCAGCCAUGCCGCGUGCGGGAAGAAGGCCUUCGGGUUGUAAACCGCUUUUGUCAGGGAAGAAAUCUUCUGAGUUAAUACCUCGGGAGGAUGACGGUACCUGAAGAAUAAGCACCGGCUAACUACGUGCCAGCAGCCGCGGUAAUACGUAGGGUGCAAGCGUUAAUCGGAAUUACUGGGCGUAAAGCGUGCGCAGGCGGUUUUGUAAGACAGAGGUGAAAUCCCCGGGCUCAACCUGGGAACUGCCUUUGUGACUGCAAGGCUUGAGUGCGGCAGAGGGGGGAUGGAAUUCCGCGUGUAGCAGUGAAAUGCGUAGAUAUGCGGAGGAACACCGAUGGCGAAGGCAAUCCCCUGGGCCUGCACUGACGCUCAUGCACGAAAGCGUGGGGAGCAAACAGGAUUAGAUAGCCCUGGUAGUCCACGCCCUAAACGAUGUCAACUGGUUGUUGGGAAGGUUCCUUCUCAGUAACGUAGCUAACGCGUGAAGUCGACCGCCU